UACGGAAGGCAGCAGUGGGGAAUAUUGCACAAUGGGCGAAAGCCUGAUGCAGCUAUGCCGCGUGUAUGAAGAAGGCCUUAGGGUUGUAAAGUACUUUCAUCGGGGAGGAAAAAACAAAACUAAUAAUUUUAUUUCUUGACGUUACCCGAAAAAGAAGCACCGGCUAACUCCGUGCCAGCAGCCGCGGUAAUACGGAGGGUGCUAGCGUUAAUCAGAAUUACUGGGCGUAAAGAGCACGUAGGUGGUUUUUUUAAGUCAGAUGUGAAAUCCCUGGGCUUUAACCUGGAACUGCAUUUUGAAACUGAAAUACUAGAGUAUCGUAGAGGGAGGUAGAAUUCUAGGUGUAGCGGUGAAAUGCGUAGAUAUCUGGAGGAAUACCUGUGGCGAAAGCGGCCUCCUAAACGAAUACUGACACUGAGGGUGCGAAAGCGUGGGGAGCAAACAGGGAUUAGAUACC
RNAcentral lists this ribosomal RNA (457 nucleotides) under uncultured bacterium. RNAcentral describes it as "bacterial SSU rRNA". It matches the Rfam family "Bacterial small subunit ribosomal RNA", at positions 340 to 786 of the family's 1533-position model. The record is from RNAcentral.